Molecule: long non-coding RNA, 1284 nt
Filed under: Daphnia magna
Lineage: Eukaryota; Metazoa; Arthropoda; Branchiopoda; Diplostraca; Daphniidae
Description: uncharacterized LOC116921921, transcript variant X2
Source: RNAcentral
GAUCUAUUUGAUUCUAGGACACCGUCGAAACAUUAUGUAAGUAUCUAUUUGGUUAGAUGUUGGAUUUGUUUACGCUUUGAAUAGAUGCGUAUGUAUCUGUCAAUUUACUUGGGCAUAGCUAACAUCAAGUACAUUUCGUUGUAUUGUUUUGGACUCUUGUUCUAAUUUAUGUCUAGAAUAGCACUCUAAUUAUCAGAUUUAACUGGGGUUUGUCACGCUCAAUCAAUAAACGAUGAUUUUACUUCAUUAGUAUAGUGGUGAGAAGGUUUGUGUACCUGACAUCAGAAGUUUUUAAAAUUAUAUGGUGAAAUAUAGUUAAUAGAAUGUGAAGAACUUUUCUUUUUUCCUUUUGCAAUUAUUUUUAUAAUUGUUAUUAAGUAGGAUAUCUAUUGGAUUAUUUGGGUUACAUUCAACAGGUUUUUUUGCUGACUUGUUCUUCUGUCUAUGAACCUGUAUCAUAUGGUGGGUGUUCCAUGAUUAAGAAAUCUUGGAUAUCCUCUUAAGUUGGCAGGUUUCUGAAGCGUCUCUUUUCCUCUCUGGAGAACCUAAGAUUGGUUGCCAUUGUGGCAUGUUUGUUUUUGUUUUGUUUUUGGUUUAAUAUGUUCUUACUGUGGAUGAUACUGAAAUUUCAUUCCAGAUUUUGGCAGUGACUGCACCUAGGUUCCAUUUAUCAAGCAGUUCCAAGAAAGUUGUUAAGUGAUAUUUCAGUUUCUUUUGCUCGGGGUGGAAUGCCGGUCACCGUAAGAUUCUUGCCGGGUCUGAUUGAGCAUUGUUGCGGUAGGAUUAGACUGAAACGAGAGAUUUGCGUUCAUCUUAAGUUUAUUUGAGGGGUGUUUUUCUGGUUUUUAUAAAAAGCCACUAUGACCCGAUAACAUUGCGUUUCGAUUAUUGUUAAUAUUAUAUAAAUUGAAAUUGAAUCUCAUUUAGGUGUUCUGGUAGGGCGUGUGAGUGGCCCUGUUUGAGUUUAUUGGUGUAAAAUUUACGAGUGAUUGCGGGUAACAUUAUUUUCAAGAUCUUCGUUGAUGGAAUUAUCCCAUAUGACAAUACACGAAGCAAAACGAAUGGUGGAGGCGAAAUAGUGGGUUAUAAAUUGUUAGGUCAGGAUCAUUCUGUCCUCAAUGGUGGUUCGUACUCUUUCUUAAACUAUAGAAGUGAAGUUUCUUGUGGCAAAUACCAACAUUGACAAGGUAAAUUUUUGUCGAAAUUAAUUACAUCUAAUCCUUGUUUUUUAUAAUUUAGAUCGAAGCCUGCAGUGAAACUUGAAAAACGUUGGUUAUGUAAUAU